This 253-nucleotide ribosomal RNA is filed under the name uncultured bacterium. RNAcentral's name for it is "partial 16S ribosomal RNA". It matches the Rfam family "Bacterial small subunit ribosomal RNA", at positions 524 to 776 of the family's 1533-position model. The record is from RNAcentral.
UACGGAGGGGGCUAGCGUUGUUCGGAAUUACUGGGCGUAAAGCGCACGUAGGCGGAUAUUUAAGUCAGGGGUGAAAUCCCGGGGCCCAACCCCGGAACUGCCUUUGAUACUGGGUAUCUGGAGGUCGAGAGAGGCGAGUGGAAUUCCGAGUGUAGAGGUGAAAUUCGUAGAUAUUCGGAGGAACACCAGUGGCGAAGGCGGCUCGCUGGCUCGAUACUGACGCUGAGGUGCGAAAGCGUGGGGAGCAAACAGG